Molecule: transfer RNA, 83 nt
Filed under: Mariniphaga sp.
Lineage: Bacteria; Pseudomonadati; Bacteroidota; Bacteroidia; Marinilabiliales; Prolixibacteraceae
Also listed under: 1 other name
Description: tRNA-Tyr
Rfam family: tRNA
About the family: Transfer RNA (tRNA) molecules are approximately 80 nucleotides in length. Their secondary structure includes four short double-helical elements and three loops (D, anti-codon, and T loops).
Source: RNAcentral
GGGGAGAUACCAAAGUGGACAAAUGGGGUAGACUGUAAAUCUAUUGGCUGACGCCUUCGGAGGUUCGAAUCCUCCUCUCCCCA